GCUUCCCACCCGCGAAGCGUCUGACCCACAGCUAUUCCACACCAGCCUCCUUGGGGACAUUCAGCCCUGGCCGGGUGCGAAGGGAUUCAGUAUACGGACGCGUUUCUGCCUUGGUCCGUACUGGUACAACUGGCCUCCAAUUAGAGAUCCCCAAACGGUCUCCCAGGGGGCAUGUGCAUGCCACCGAGUACAUGUGAGACUCAAGAGAGUCUGAGGGAGUCCUCUCCUUCCACCUUGUGGGACCUAGAACUAAGCUCAGGAGGUCAGGCCUGGAAUUAAGCUAAAGGCUUAACCUUUAGCUGCUAAGCCAUCUUGUCAGCCCUCGAACCUUCACCUGGCAUUGGAUGGAGAAAAUGACAGAGCCCCACAUAGGA
Arvicola amphibius (Eurasian water vole) is the source of this 374-nucleotide long non-coding RNA. RefSeq lists it as uncharacterized. The record is from RefSeq and is a predicted model, not a curated record. Lineage: Eukaryota; Metazoa; Chordata; Mammalia; Rodentia; Cricetidae. The transcript is spliced from 4 exons.